RNAcentral lists this ribosomal RNA (675 nucleotides) under Escherichia coli. RNAcentral describes it as "partial 23S ribosomal RNA". It matches the Rfam family "Bacterial large subunit ribosomal RNA", at positions 1088 to 1765 of the family's 2925-position model. The record is from RNAcentral. Lineage: Bacteria; Pseudomonadati; Pseudomonadota; Gammaproteobacteria; Enterobacterales; Enterobacteriaceae.
GACAGCCAGGAUGUUGGCUUAGAAGCAGCCAUCAUUUAAAGAAAGCGUAAUAGCUCACUGGUCGAGUCGGCCUGCGCGGAAGAUGUAACGGGGCUAAACCAUGCACCGAAGCUGCGGCAGCGACACUAUGUGUUGUUGGGUAGGGGAGCGUUCUGUAAGCCUGCGAAGGUGUACUGUGAGGUAUGCUGGAGGUAUCAGAAGUGCGAAUGCUGACAUAAGUAACGAUAAAGCGGGUGAAAAGCCCGCUCGCCGGAAGACCAAGGGUUCCUGUCCAACGUUAAUCGGGGCAGGGUGAGUCGACCCCUAAGGCGAGGCCGAAAGGCGUAGUCGAUGGGAAACAGGUUAAUAUUCCUGUACUUGGUGUUACUGCGAAGGGGGGACGGAGAAGGCUAUGUUGGCCGGGCGACGGUUGUCCCGGUUUAAGCGUGUAGGCUGGUUUUCCAGGCAAAUCCGGAAAAUCAAGGCUGAGGCGUGAUGACGAGGCACUACGGUGCUGAAGCAACAAAUGCCCUGCUUCCAGGAAAAGCCUCUAAGCAUCAGGUAACAUCAAAUCGUACCCCAAACCGACACAGGUGGUCAGGUAGAGAAUACCAAGGCGCUUGAGAGAACUCGGGUGAAGGAACUAGGCAAAAUGGUGCCGUAACUUCGGGAGAAGGCACGCUGAUAUGUAGGUGA